UGUUAUUGUUUUGGAGUCGAAUAUGACUUGAUGUGAUGUGUAUAAUUGAGUAUAAGAACUUAAACCGCAACCCGAUCUUAUAAGCCUCAGUAGUGUUGCCUUGUUAGAAGACACAAAGCCAAAGACUCAUAUGGACUUUGGCUACACCAUGAAAGCUUUGAGAAGCAAGAAGAAGGUUGGUUAGUGUUUUGGAGUCGAAUAUGACUUGUUGUCAUGUGUAUGAUUGAGUAUAACAACUUAAACCGUAACCCGAUCUUAAAAGCCUAAAUAAUGUUUCCUUGUUAGAAGACACAAAGCCAAAGACUCAUAUGGGCUUUGGCUACACCAUGAAAGCUUUGAGAAGCAAAAAGAAGGUUUGUUAGUGUUUUGGAGUCGAAUAUGACUUGAUGUCAUGUGUAUGAUUGAGUAAAAGAACUUAAACCGCAACCGGAUCUUAAAGGAGUAAGAAUUGUAUCCUUGUUAGAAGACACAAAGACAAAGACUCAUAUGGAAUUUGGCUACACCAUGAAAGCUUUGAGAAGCAAGAAGAAGGUUGGUUAGUGUUUUGGAGUGAAUAUGACUUAAUGUCAUGUGUAUGAUUGAGUAUUAGAACUUAAACCGCAACCCGAUCUUAAAAGCCGUAAGAAUUGUAUCCUUGUUAGAAGACACAAAGCCAAAGAAUCAUACGGACUUUGGCUACACCAUGAAAGCUUUGAGAAGCAAGAAGAAGGUUGGUUAGUGUUUUGGAGUCGAAUAUGACUUGAUGUCAUGUGUAUGAUUGAGUAUAAAAACUUAAACCGCAACCCGAUCUUAAAAGCCUAAGUAGUGUUUCCUUGUUAGAAGAUACAAAGCCAAAGACUCAUACGGACUUUGGCUACACCAUGAAAGCUUGGAUAAGGUAGAAGAGGCUUGGUUAGUGUUUUGGAGUCGAAUAUGACUUGAUGUCAUGUGUAUGAUUGAGUAUAAGAACUUAAACCGCAACUCGAUCUUAAAAGCCUAAGUAGUGUUUCCUUGUUAGAAGAUACAAAGCCAAAGACUCAUACGGACAUUGGCUACACCAUGAAAGCUUUGAGAAGCUAAAAGAAGCUUGGUUAGUGUUUUGGAGUCGAAUAUGACUUUAUGUCAUGCGUAUGAUUGAGUAUAAAAACUUAAACCGCAACCCGAUCUUAAAAGCCUAAGUAGUGUUUCCUUGUUAGAAGAUACAAAGCCAAAGACUCAUACGGACUUUGGAUACACCAUGAAAGCUUUGAGAAGCUAGAAGAAGCUUGGUUAGUGUUUUGGAGUCGAAUAUGACUUGAUGUCAUGUGUAUGAUUGAGUAUAAGAACUUAAACCGCAACUCGAUCUUAAAAGCCUAAGUAGUGUUUCCUUGUUAGAAGACACAAAGCCAAGGACUCAUAUGGACUUUGGGCUACACCAUGAAAGCUUUGAGAAGCAACAAGAAGGUUGGUUAGUGUUUUGGAGUCGAAUAUAACUUGAUGUCAUGUGUAUGAUUCAGUAUAAGAACUUAAACCGCAACCCGAUCUUAUAAGCCUAAGUAGUGUUUCCUUGUUAGAAGAUACAAAGCCAAAGACUCAUACGGACUUUGACUACACCAUGAAAGCUUUGAGAAGCAAGAAGAAGGUUGGUUAGUGUUUUGGAGUCGAAUAUGACUUGAUGUCGUGUGUAUGAUUGAGUAUAAGAACUUAAACCGCAACCGGAUCUUAAAGGCGUAAGAAUUGUAUCCUUGUUAGAAGACACAAAGCCAAAGACUCAUAUGGACUUUGGCUACACCAUGAAAGCUUUGAGAAGCAAGAAGAAGGUUGGUUAGUGGUUUAGAGUCGAAUAUGACUUGAUGUCAUGUGUAUGAUUGAGUAUAAGAACUUAAACCGCAAAUCUUAUAAGCCUAAGUAGUGUUUCCUUGUUAGAAGAUACAAAGCCAAAGAUUCAUACGGAUUUUGACUACACC
This 1925-nucleotide small RNA is filed under the name Arabidopsis thaliana (thale cress). RNAcentral describes it as "ATSL088870". The record is from RNAcentral. Lineage: Eukaryota; Viridiplantae; Streptophyta; Magnoliopsida; Brassicales; Brassicaceae.